Molecule: transfer RNA, 73 nt
Organism: Brevundimonas subvibrioides ATCC 15264
Lineage: Bacteria; Pseudomonadati; Pseudomonadota; Alphaproteobacteria; Caulobacterales; Caulobacteraceae
Rfam family: tRNA
About the family: Transfer RNA (tRNA) molecules are approximately 80 nucleotides in length. Their secondary structure includes four short double-helical elements and three loops (D, anti-codon, and T loops).
Source: Rfam
GGGGCCGUAGCUCAGUUGGUAGAGCGCCUGCUUUGCAAGCAGGAUGUCGUCGGUUCGACUCCGUCCGGCUCCA